UACAAAGUAAUAAGACCUCUUCUGGCAAUAGAACUUUCAGGUAUGUUUGUGGGUGACUAUGCUAUAGCUAGAGGAUUGCAGUGAACAUUGCUUUUGGUGCUUCUUAUUCAGAAGAGAGACACUUAAGAGAGUUCCAUAGUUUUCAAUACCGUGGAAAAAAGUUGUUGCUGUAGGAUUGCUGCCAUCACUAUGAGUACAAAAUAGUUUACUUUUUCAAUAAACUGAAACUAGAAUAAUUUAAGACUAUUGUGCUAUAAGAAAACAUGGCUUAGACAGAUUAUAGCCACUGCCACAGUGACAAUCAAGUUGCAUUUUGAUGCCAAUUCUGGAUGAAACAUUGUGCACAUUUUGUACUUAGAGGCAAACAGUCACCAGGACAAUAGAACUUACAAGAACUAUGGUUCUGUAAGAUGGUUUCCUUUCUCCAUAUUGCACCAGAACGUAGAAUAGUGUGAAUUACUGUUUUUACCAAAAACAAGUCUUUCAAAGUCUAAAUUUAAGCACUUCCCCUUCAAGCAUAAGCAGAACCAUUCCAACAGUGGUUUAUUGAUGUUAUUCCCCUCAAAAGAGAAAUGCUACUCCUCUCCUCUCCUCUGGCUUUGUCUUUGAAAAGAAAAAAAAGGAACUAGCAUCAAGUAUCAGUGUUGAGGUUUUGUGUUGUUGAGAUAUAUAACCUGGAUAGAGGGUCAUCAAAGCACCAUCUGUACAGGAACAUGUUCCUGAAAUCAUUUUGUGCAGGUUUAAGGACAGAGAAAGGUGCAGUGGAAAAAGCUACAACUCAGAACCCAGUGAUCCCCAGCAACUUCAGAUAUCUGUGUAGCUGAAUUCAGUUAAUGCCAAGAUUGUAAAGAUCAGAGAUCCAGAGAUUUCAAAGCUUCCAUUUUGUUGGAAAAGUGAACUGUUGCUCGGACUGUGAAGGAUCAAACCAAACAGGUAACAUGUCCAACAAGGUGCAGAGGAUGCUGGUUCUUCUACUGAUCGUCCUGAAGGAAACUGAACUGACUGCAGCCUGCAGCAGCAGCUGUUCAUCAGUCUGUGACUGCAGUGGGUUAGGCCUCAGCAGUGUUCCUCAGGACCUGCCUUCAAAUAUCACUACCCUUAGCCUGGCUAACAAUAACCUCUCAACAAUAGGGCAAUAUGACUUCUCCAGAUAUAUGAGUUUGGAAAUAUUAGAUCUCAAAGAGAAUCAUAUCUCCCUGAUUCACGACAGUGCAUUCCACAACUUGACUAUCUUAACUGAGAUGGACCUUCGUCAGAAUCAAUUGACAAUCCUAUCAGCUGAUAUUUUUGAGGCACUUGGUAACCUGAAGACCUUGUAUCUUUCCUAUAACAAAUUGACCAACCUUUCCACUGACACAUUUGAGGGAGUUCCUAACCUUCAGCAUUUGUCUAUUUACUCUAACC
Branchiostoma floridae (Florida lancelet) is the source of this 1404-nucleotide long non-coding RNA. RefSeq lists it as uncharacterized. Lineage: Eukaryota; Metazoa; Chordata; Leptocardii; Amphioxiformes; Branchiostomatidae. The record is from RefSeq and is a predicted model, not a curated record. The transcript is spliced from 4 exons.